CCGGAACUGCCUCUGGCUGGGGUUUCCAAUCUCCAAAAUUGCUCUGACCUCUAAGCUGGAACGAGGAGAAGAACCCAGGGCCGUGCCUCCGCACAGAGCCAAGCAUGAAGAGUUCCUGAUACCUGUCAACACGGCACAUUAACAAAGCUACUAGGAAAACUGGAUUCCACAGCCAAAGAUGUCACAGAGGACACAAAAUCCUGACAGGGAGAGCCAAGAUCAAGGAGCGGUGUUCUUUAGGAAACAAUUCUACCAGAAACAACAUAAGAGUGGAAGUAAUUUAAAAUGUUCAAGAUAUGUUAAUGCACGACUGACUCCAAAUUGCCAUUUAGUAUGCUUUGUAUUUUAGCAUAUAAAAACUACCCGCAUCUACGGAAUGUUGAGCCGAAGCCCAAGACAAUCAAAGCUUCCCAUAUUCAACAUCCCAGUGUUUCCUGGUUGUGCCAAAAAAUAAACAGCCAGCAAAUGAUUGCACCUCUUAAUAAAAAGCAUUUG
This 495-nucleotide long non-coding RNA is filed under the name Equus asinus (donkey). RNAcentral's name for it is "lncRNA (ENSEASG00005036772.1)". The record is from RNAcentral. Lineage: Eukaryota; Metazoa; Chordata; Mammalia; Perissodactyla; Equidae.